GAUAAUCUGUCUAUAAUAUGGAAAAAGAGAUGCUUUAUAUAACCUAAAUAAAGACCCAUAAUCUUUGCCACUUCCCACUACUAUGCAUGGACCCAUGAUCUAUGCCACUACCCACUGCAUCGAUCCAUGAUCUAUGCCACUAUCCACUACUGGAUAACUACCCACUACUGGUUAACUAUCCACUACUGAAUAACUACCCACUACUGGUUAACUACCCACGACUGGUUAACUACUAACUGCUAAAUAACUACCCACUACUAAAUAACUAUCCACUAUUAAAUAACUACCCACUAUAAAUACAAAGUUUGAACUGUCAAUAAGAACACAUUCGGCCUAAUUGACUUGGAAUGGCCAGAUUGUUCUUCAACUUUAAAAUGAACUUG
RNAcentral lists this long non-coding RNA (383 nucleotides) under Manihot esculenta (cassava). RNAcentral describes it as "long non-coding RNA (MESC_LNC011786)". The record is from RNAcentral. Lineage: Eukaryota; Viridiplantae; Streptophyta; Magnoliopsida; Malpighiales; Euphorbiaceae.